GACGAACGCUGGCGGCGUGCUUAACACAUGCAAGUCGAACGGAAAGGCCCUGCUUUUGUGGGGUGCUCGAGUGGCGAACGGGUGAGUAACACGUGAGUAACCUGCCCUUGACUUUGGGAUAACUUCAGGAAACUGGGGCUAAUACCGGAUAGGAGCUCCUGCUGCAUGGUGGGGGUUGGAAAGUUUCGGCGGUUGGGGAUGGACUCGCGGCUUAUCAGCUUGUUGGUGGGGUAGUGGCUUACCAAGGCUUUGACGGGUAGCCGGCCUGAGAGGGUGACCGGCCACAAUGGGACUGAGAUACGGCGCAGACUCCUACGGGAGGCAGCAGUGGGGAAUAUUGCACAAUGGGCGGAAGCGUGAUGCAGCAACGCCGCGUGCGGGAUGACGGCCUUCGGGUUGUAAACCGCUUUCGCCUGUGACGAAGCGUGAGUGACGGUAAUGGGUAAAGAAGCACCGGCUAACUACGUG
This 468-nucleotide ribosomal RNA is filed under the name uncultured bacterium. RNAcentral describes it as "partial 16S ribosomal RNA". It matches the Rfam family "Bacterial small subunit ribosomal RNA", at positions 28 to 507 of the family's 1533-position model. The record is from RNAcentral.